Molecule: long non-coding RNA, 1315 nt
Organism: Daphnia magna
Lineage: Eukaryota; Metazoa; Arthropoda; Branchiopoda; Diplostraca; Daphniidae
Exons: 2
Source: RefSeq, a predicted model, not a curated record
GCAAUGCCAGUCAAUCAAAUGAAAUGUGAAUCCUUUUGGCUCGAUCGACUGGCAGCGAUAAAGAGUCGUGGCGCAGCUCGAUCGCCGAGUCAUAACAAGGGCUCCCUCCCAAUGUUGAUGAACCGUGUGAUUUGCAUCGGCAGCUGUUUAUCCAUCAUAUGUAUUCGGGAUGAGAUUAUUAUUCCAUUCGUUAAUGCUCUCUCUCUCGGCUUGGCCCACGGAUUCAGCCUCUGCCAUGUAUUCAAACGCCAACGCCUCGACACUCGGUAAUGAGCAUCAUAGGGACCUCUUCUUCUUCUUCUUCUUACAGAAUAAUUUAAAGAAGAUGGUUGCUUGUCCUGUUAUCUCCUUUCAAAAAAAUAGGGACACGGUCCAACAAAAUCGGUUAUCAGGUGAUGUAUACAAAUUCUCAUUUUUCGUACGAGAUACUCAAGAGAUCGGAGCUUCUUGAAAAUGUUGUGGGGUUGGACGUAAAAGGGCGGAUAGGUCGAAUAGCCCAGCAAGGGGCUGCCCAGUCUAAGUCCUCGAAGAUAUUGAUGAACUCAACGGCAACUGCUGCGCUGGAUGGCUCUACAAAAGAAGAGUUCCAGCCUCCUUCUUGUUCUGUCUUUAAAGAAAACCAAGCACUUGUCCGACAGUUUCACAUCGCUCACACCAAAUACAACGGGAUUUUGUACAUACAGUACAUAGCCUACACUAUACACUGGCCAUAUAGUAACUAUAGACUAGGACCGCAAAAAGGAGGAUGAAUUCCUUGUGAAUUUUCUUCGUUCAAAGAGUCGAUGGUCAGAAACUUUGAAAGAGAGAAGGCGAAACUCUCUGUGUACAUUACACUGCGCCCGGUGUACAAUGAAGAGCAAAAUGAAGUCGUUGAACAUCGACAAGUGACAACAAUAAGAGUCUAUACAUCCCUUUUCUUCCUUAUUAUUUGAUUAUAUUAUAUAUACUGUAUAUGUAUAUAUUUUUUUGCCAGUAUAUAUAGAGUCUCGGGCGAGUGCCAGGACAAACAAAGAGAACGCACAAAAAAAAGGUGAACUCGAAAGACUCACCAAAAAAAAAUCACAUACAGUGUUGAACACGAGUGGAAUUGUGUGAAUUUUGAAUUCAUUCAUUGUCCAUCUUUCUUAUUUUUUGUGUGCCAUUCGUCUCUCUUUCUCUCCUUUUUUUUUGUGUGUGUUUCCCUUUGAAAUUUACACACUGAGCGCUGUGCCUCUAGAAAAAUGUGACAAGGGACUGGAAAAGUGCUGGAACACUGGCGAAAAUUGAAGCAAAAUGGGAAAGAAUGAAAACGACUAUAAUAAACUGGUUGGACGGA